ACGAACGCUGGCGGCGUGCCUAAUACAUGCAAGUCGAACGGUCUUUCUAUGGAAGCUUGCUUCCACUGAGAAGAUAGUGGCGAACGGGUGAGUAACACGUGGGUAACCUGCCCAUAAGAGGGGGAUAACAUCCGGAAACGGGUGCUAAUACCGCAUAGUUUUCUUGAUCGCAUGAUCGGGAAAGGAAAGACGGCCUUUGUGCUGUCGCUUAUGGAUGGACCCGCGGCGUAUUAGUUAGUUGGUGAGGUAAUGGCUCACCAAGACGAUGAUACGUAGCCGACCUGAGAGGGUGAUCGGCCACAUUGGGACUGAGACACGGCCCAAACUCCUACGGGAGGCAGCAGUAGGGAAUCUUCCGCAAUGGACGAAAGUCUGACGGAGCAACGCCGCGUGAGUGAAGAAGGUUUUCGGGAAUCGUAAAACUCUGUUGUCAGAGAAGAACAAGUUGGAGAGUAACUGCUCCAGCCUUGACGGUAUCUGACCAGAAAGCCACGGCUAACUACGUGCCAGCAGCUGC
Molecule: ribosomal RNA, 517 nt
Filed under: uncultured bacterium
Lineage: Bacteria
Description: bacterial SSU rRNA
Rfam family: Bacterial small subunit ribosomal RNA
Source: RNAcentral